AGUGAACGCUGGCGGUAGGCCUAACACAUGCAAGUCGAACGGCAGCACAGUAAGAGCUUGCUCUUACGGUUGGCGAGUGGCGGACGGGUGAGGAAUACAUCGGAAUCUACUUUUUCGUGGGGGAUAACGUAGGGAAACUUACGCUAAUACCGCAUACGACCUACGGGUGAAAGCAGGGGAUCUUCGGACCUUGCGCGAUUGAAUGAGCCGAUGUCGGAUUAGCUAGUUGGCGAGGUAAAGGCCAACCAAGGCGACGAUCCGUAGCUGGUCUGAGAGGAUGAUCAGCCACACUGGAACUGAGACACGGUCCAGACUCCUACGGGAGGCAGCAGUGGGGAAUAUUGGACAAUGGGCGCAAGCCUGAUCCAGCCAUACCGCGUGAGUGAAGAAGGCCUUCGGGUUGUAAAGCCCUUUUGUUGGGAAAGAAAAGCAGCAGGUUAAUACCCCGCUGUUCUGACGGUACCCAAAGAGUAAGCACCGGCUAACUUCGUG
Molecule: ribosomal RNA, 492 nt
Filed under: uncultured bacterium
Lineage: Bacteria
Description: partial 16S ribosomal RNA
Rfam family: Bacterial small subunit ribosomal RNA
Source: RNAcentral